Anguilla rostrata (American eel) is the source of this 454-nucleotide long non-coding RNA. RefSeq lists it as uncharacterized. NCBI's taxonomy places the organism in Eukaryota, Metazoa, Chordata, Actinopteri, Anguilliformes, Anguillidae. The transcript is spliced from 3 exons. The record is from RefSeq and is a predicted model, not a curated record.
AACGAAAACGUCCUCAUGGUUUCUAGUGCGACAUUUGCACAGUAUUAGUAAUCAGGAUGAAGCCGGACACCAUGUUCUUUCUGCUUUGUGCCACAGCAUUGGUGGUUUUUGGUGAACACAAAGCUGCACAGUCAAGUCCUGCUGUUCGUCUGACUGCUAAUCCUCCAUGGCCAGAUGUGUUCCCAGGAGAGACAAUUAAUCUCACCUGUCAGGUUACUGAAUCUGAGGGAUGGACCUUUGUGUGGAUGAGAUACAGACAGGGGGGUCUAACACAACUUUCAGCCUCUAUCAGUAAUAGCUCCGAGUUGGUCCUGAGUGAUGUGAGUGAGAGACAGAGCGGAAUGUAUCAGUGUGAAGCUGUAAAAGGAAAUGAGCGACCUUUCAGUAACAUCCAUACCAUAACAGUCUCUGGUGAGUAGUGUAAUUGAAAAUUACCCCCCUCAAAUAGUGCUUC